AUAGUCUUCAUCAAGAUCCUUAUUAUUUCUUGCUAUUUGUGAACCUCCCUGCUUUCAAGUCCUCUUCAAUUGUUUCUUCAGGCCAGACAUUCCAUAUGAGAAGGACUGAGAGUUCAAGGAUGCUGCAAUUAACGGCCUGGACAGAGGAUGGGGACAUGAAUAAUGGUAGAGUCCAGCAUUAGCACAACACUCCAUUCAUCACUGCUGAAGGGCAAAUGCAUAACCCUCAAAAUGAUCCUGGAAAGAGGAAAAGGGAGAGGAAUUGCAAGUUCCAUGGAACAGUGAUUUACCAUGCAGCAGAGGAUGUGAGCAUCUCCGAAAUAGAAGGGUCCACAUAUUUUGAACUUUAACAUAUAUAAUGAUACUUAUAAUGUGACUGUUACGGGCAGCUGAUUUUUCAUACAAUUGACAUGUGAGUAUUUUCCAGGCAGGCAUCUUAUUUCCUGUGUAUGUGCCCCCUAUUUAUGCAGGACCAUCAACAGGACCAACAUUGAGUAGAAAUCAGUCACAGCAAACCACUUUCCUUUUUAUUUCAUGUACUCUGUACCCUCCUUUAAUGGCAACAUAAUUGCAUCAUAUCAUUGGUUUGUAGUGUGGAGGCUGUGGGUCUGAUUUUUAGUUUCCCAAUCCGUGCAGAAUAUUCAGAAGAAUAGAGGGUUGGAGACCUCUAGUUCAGGUCAAAAUCAGUGUGAAAGGCUUGACUUUGGAAAGGGUAAAGAGAGUUCAAUUUAAACUGAGUCUCCAGCUAGGGGCAGGGAGAGGAAAGAGGAGUUAGUCUCCCACAAGAGGAGACUAGCAUAAUCUUUGUGCCCUAAUUAGGCAUCCUUGGGCUUAGGGAAUUACUAGGGGAUACGGGAGUGUAAUGCAGGAAAACCAAGGCAGAAGUCAUGUCCGAGAGUCUGGAUCAAUCCUUCAGGGCAGGGGGUGGAGCAAGGGAAGAAAGGGGAGCUGUGCCAAGGGGUCUACCAGUGGGCCCAGGGCAGAUCCCAAGUCCAUAAGCAAUAGGAUCAGGUCCAGGUACCACCUUCUUGAAAUCUGAGGCUGCUGCUGUACUUCCUGCCCCUGCUACCUUGGGCCUGGGGCUGUAAAUGUCAUCAGAUAGUCCACCUGGAAGGGCCUGUGGAAAGCAAAAUCAGAGAAACAAGGCAGGAGCUGGCCACUUGUGAAAUUUUUCCUGGAAACUCUGUCAUGGAAUCAUGUUUUAGAUACCAGAAGGAAGGGCUGCUCUGACUAACUGACCAUGAAUCGGAGAAGAGGCCUGCGAUGAUCUAGGCAGUGGGUUAUGGGAGAGGAAUGGAAAACUGCAGAAUGGAUUCUCCAGCCCAUUCAGCGCUCAUACUACAUGGGCAUGUUCACAGACCUGCAGGCUUUGCCUUUGUCUGUCUCCCUGCUUUUGGAAGGGAUGGCACAGCUUUGCCCCCUUUCCUGGAGGCACAGUAGUCUGACUUGAGUCUUUCGCUGUCUUCUGUAUCCAACUCAUUCAUGAAAUUAUAUGAGAUAAUUUCCAAAUAAGUGACUUUUUUGGCUUAUUUGCCCAAUUGACUUAAUUAUUGCCGGUUUAUUCUUCUUGUUUUGGAUUCCUUGAGCUGAGAGAGUGAAAAAGGGAGUUUAUUUAAGAAGAUAAGGACAGAUUAGGUUUUCAAUUUGGUGGUAUGAUGCAGUCUGCUUUCUUAACUCUAUUAUGACCUAUUUAGUGUUUGUUUUUCUCUUAUUGUGGAAGUAACAUAUGCUGAUUAUAGAGAUAUAGAAAAAGAUAAAAAGUAUCCAUUUCAAUUGACCAAUAAUGUCCUCUCAGCAAUUUGGUGUAUAUCAUGUAUUUUUAAAUAAACAGAUUGCUUUGUAAAUACACUUUAUAUCUUACUGUUGUAACAUUAAAAAAAAGGUGGUUAAAAUGGCGAGCAAGUGCAGAACAGCAGCACUUGGAAAGUAAGCUGGGGAUGGCAAAAGCCUCAAUUUCUGUUUCCACAAAGCACUCUGUUCUCUUUGUUGAUCACUGAGACCCAGAAGCUACCAUCUCCAGUGGAACUGGAACCUUUGUUUUUCUUGAUCUCUGCAUCGUGUGGCUCAGCCCCGGUUGGAACUGAAGCUUGGAAUAAAGCCACAGUGAGCUGGGUCACACUGUUUCUUAGACUUCCCCCCACAGUACCUUGUUUGGAGAGAAUUAUAACUGAAAGGGAAAAAAUUCCCUCUGGCAAGAAACUUGGCUUAGAAAUGCUCAUUUGGAGAAGCUUAUUAUUAUUAUUAUUUUUUGGUUUUGCUGUUUAAAUAAGGUCACUGCUAUAAAUCAAUGUUUGUGAGUGUUAGAGAAGACCAAGUAAAUAAAUAAAGCCCUACGUAUUUAUUGUAAACAGAAACACCCUAGAGGUUCUCCAGGGGAAGAGAGAGUGAGAGAAAGGUCACCAUUUCUUGCAUACAGAAAAUUAACUGUUUCAUUAGUUUAGAUAGAAACACAUUUUUUCUUUAAAAUUAGUUAUGAGGAAAAUAUUUCCAAGUUUGUGCCUCUUAUUAGGUGUAUGAAGUAUCAAAAAUAUUAAGUACAACUAACAGCAUUAGGACUUGUUCUCACCUCAACUCCAUCAUCUGAAUAAAACCACUGAAAAAGAGAAAAACAGCUCCUGACGUAAGGAAACUGGCCUGAUAUUUACAUCUAGUUCAUAGUGUUUGCCUGUUGGACACAAAUGAUCUCAUAGAACAUCAACAACAGACCAAGGCACUCUGACUAUAAUGGAGUGAGAGAAAAAACAAGUGAGACAAGACAACUUCAAAAUUUUGUCUAAGCACAGGCAAAACCAAAUGACCCAAAUACCAGACAUCCUCCUCUCUUGGCUAACAUGAGUGACUAUCAAAGCUUUAGCCUCUAUGUGUUCCUCUUGACUUAUAGAGAAGAUUCAUUAGGAUACUGAUAUGGUUUGGCUCUGUAUCCUCACCCAAAUCUCAUCUUGUAGCUCCCAGAAUUCCCACGUGUUAUGGGAGGGACCCAGUGGGAGAUAAUUGAGUCAUGAGGGCGGGUCUUUCCUGUGCUGUUCUCGUGAUAAUAAAUAAGUCUCAUGAGAUCUGAAGGUUUUAAAAAUGGGAGUUUCCCUGCACAAGUUCUCUUCUCUUGUCUGCUGCCAUGUGAGAUGUGCCUUUCACCUUCUGCUGUGAUUGUGAGGCCUUCCCAGCCACAUGGAACUGUAAGUCCAAU
Molecule: long non-coding RNA, 3184 nt
Filed under: Homo sapiens (human)
Lineage: Eukaryota; Metazoa; Chordata; Mammalia; Primates; Hominidae
Description: non-protein coding lnc-DDX58-8:2
Source: RNAcentral